GUAGGUGAACCUGCAGAAGGAUCAUUACGCGUUAUUUUUUUAUAAACCUUGCACACAUUCACACACACACACACACACUACACGUGAGUUUAUAAAUUCUAUAACCACACUUUUGUCGCGUAAGUAUGAAUUCACUUUUUUACGCGCGCGGCAAACACACAAUCUCGAAACAAGAUAUGCCUGCAGACUUGAUCUGUAGGAUACACCUUUCAUCUAGAUCACAUAAUUCAACUCAGCUCUGCGGAGUCUAACACACGCAUAAUUUUAAUUAUGUAGACAUAUUACACACAUUUUCUCAUACUGCAUGAGCGAUGGAUCUCUUGGUUCCUUGCAUCGUUGAAGGUCGCAG
This 349-nucleotide unclassified non-coding RNA is filed under the name Epistominella sp. 8120. RNAcentral describes it as "sequence contains 18S rRNA gene and ITS1". The record is from RNAcentral. Lineage: Eukaryota; Foraminifera; Rotaliida; Pseudoparrellidae.